UAUUGGACAAUGGGCGAAAGCCUGAUCCAGCCAUGCCGCGUGCGUGAUGAAGGCCUUAGGGUUGUAAAGCUCUUUUACCAGGGAAGAUAAUGACGGUACCUGGAGAAUAAGCGCCGGCUAACUUCGUGCCAGCAGCCGCGGUAAUACGAAGGGGGCUAGCGUUGCUCGGAAUUACUGGGCGUAAAGCGCACGUAGGUGGGUCGUUAAGUCGGGGGUGAAAUCCUGGAGCUCAACUCCAGAACUGCCUUCGAUACUGGCGAUCUUCGAGUCCGGGAGAGGUGGGUGGAACUGCGAGUGUAGAGGUGAAAUUCGUAGAUAGUCGCAAGAACACCAGUGGCGAAGGCGGCUCACUGGCCCGGUACUGACACUGAGGUGCGAAAGCGUGGGGAGCAAACAG
RNAcentral lists this ribosomal RNA (397 nucleotides) under uncultured bacterium. Its description in RNAcentral is "bacterial SSU rRNA". It matches the Rfam family "Bacterial small subunit ribosomal RNA", at positions 362 to 775 of the family's 1533-position model. The record is from RNAcentral.